GAAAAUCGCGUUAAGGGUAUAUGGUGAAUGCCUUGACAUAAAAAGACGAUGAAGGACGUAGCAGCCUGCGAUAAGCUUCGGGGAGGUGGCAAGCAACCUUUGAUCCGAAGAUAUCCGAAUGGGGAAACCUACUCUAUUGAAGAUAGAGUGCCCUGCUUUAGCAGGGGGAGCACCCGGUGAACUGAAACAUCUUAGUAGCCGGAGGAAAAGAUAACAAUAGUUAUUCCCUUAGUAGUGGCGAGCGAAAGGGGAAGAGCCUAAACUUUAUAAACCGAGUAAUUAUUAAUUUUGCUUUUGUGAAAGAGAUAUUGCGGAAGGAUUCAAGUCCACAUGUUUAUAUGGUGUUGCAAGACGAUUGCUUUUGUUUCUUGAAUAAAGCAAGGUAAAGUCAUAAAAAAUAUUUUUAAUUGAAUGAGCUGGAAAGCUCAGCCAAAGAAGGUGAUAGCCCUGUAAGUAAAAAAAAUAUUUCUUUACUGUGAUCGCUCUUAAGUAGUGCGGGCCUCGAGAAAUCCCGUAUGAAUCCGGGUCGACUAUGACCCAAGGCUAAAUACUUUUUAUGAUCGAUAGUGAACAAGUACCGUGAGGGAAAGGUGAAAAGCAUCCCGAUGAGGGAGGUGAAAUAGUACCUGAAACCAUAUACUUACAAGGAGUCGGAGCCUCAAUUUAUUGGGGUGACGGCGUGCCUAUUGAAGAAUGAGCCAACGAGUUUAUUCUAUGUGGCUUGCAUAAGCUCCUAUGGAGAAUAUGCGAAGUGAAAGCGAGGGUUAAUAGCCCGCUUCAGUUAUCUUAUCGGAAUAGGAUGCUUCUUAUUUCGGUAUGAUAAUUGAUAUGUCGCAUGGAUAAGACCCGAAGCCGGGUGAUCUAACCAUGGCCAGGUUGAAGUGUGGAGAAAUCCACAUGAAGGACCGAACCCACUAGCCGUGCAACACUAGGGGAUGAGCUGUGGUUAGCGGUGAAAUUCCAAUCGAACUCGGCGAUAGCUGGUUCUCCUCGAAAUAGCUUUUGGGCUAGCCUCGAAUGUUGACUACUGGGGGUAGAGCACUGAAUGAGGGCGGGCCGCAAGGUACCGUCUUUAACCAAACUCCGAAUACCAGUAGGUAUAAUUCGGGAGUCAGACCGUGGGCGCUAAGGUUCAUGUGUCAAAAGGGAAACAGCCCAGAUCGCAAUCUAAGGUCCCUAAAUAUAUACUAAGUGUAAAAGGUGGUGUUGUGACCACGACAAUUAGGAGGUUGGCUUAGAAGCAGCCAUCCUUUAAAGAUAGCGUAAUAGCUCACUAAUCAAGUUGUUUCGCGCCGAAAAUUUAUCGGGGCUAAGUAUAUUACCGAAGAUGCGAGUUCUAUCUUUUUAAGAUAGAGCGGUAGAGGAGCGUUCUAUUCCGCGUUGAAGCCAAGUCGUGAGUCUUGGUGGAGUGAAUAGAAGUGAGAAUGUUGGCAUGAGUAGCAAAAAGGCAGAUGAAAACUCUGCCCACCGAAAAUCUAAGGUUUCCUGGGCAACGUAAAUCGACCCAGGGUUAGUCGGUCCUAAGGCGUAUCUUGUGUAGUGCAAGAGAAGUCGAUGGAUGAGCUGGUUAAUAUUCCAGCACUACUGUAAUUUCUGAUGGAGGGACGCAAUUCUAAGAUUUAAGCGCUUUAUUGGUAUGAGCGUUGAUUGUUUCAAGAUGUGAUUUAGGCAAAUCCGGAUCACACAAGUCAAGAAACCGUCUAAAGGUGAAGCUUCGGUGGAUCCAAUUUAGGUUGAAGAGUUGCCAAGAAAAACUUCUAGGGUUAAAGAUUAUAGUAUCCGUACUAAAACCGACACAGGUAGAUGAGGCGAGAAGCCUCAGGUGUACGAGAGAAUCUUCGUUAAGGAACUCGGCAAAACAGCGGCCGUAAUUUAGAGAUAAGGCCUGCCCUGCUUGCAGGGCCGCAGCUAAAGAGAUCAAGGGACUGUUUAACAAAAACACAGCUCUCUGCUAAAUCGAAAGAUGAUGUAUAGAGGGUGAAGCCUGGCCAGUGUCCGAACGUUAAGAGGAGGGGUUAUUCCGUUUCGACGGGAGAAGCUCUGAAUUGAAGCGCGGAUGAACGCCGGCGAUAACUAUAAUCGUCCUAAGGUAGCGAAAUUCCUUGUCGGGUAAGUUCCGACCUGCACGAAUGGCUUAACCACUUGAUCACUGUCUCAACGAAGAACUCGGCGAAAUUGCAAUACGAGUAAAGAUGCUCGUUAACCAUAGUAGGACGAAAAGACCCCGUGAAGCUUUACUACAGCUUGAUAUUGAGUUAGGUGUAUGCAUGUUCAGAAUAGGUGGGAGCCUUCGGGCGCCAGUGAGAUACCACCCUUGUGUGCUUUUAAUUCUAACCCCGUUUAACGGGGGACAGUGUCUGGUGGGUAGUUUGUCUGGGGCGGAUGCCUCCCAAAAUGUAACGGAGGCGUUUACAAAGGUUGGUUAUCUCGGAAUGGAAACCCGAGAGAUAGUGUAAAGGCAUAAACCAGCUUUACUGCGAGACCUACCAGUCAAGCAGUCGCGAAAGCGGAACUUAGUGAUCCGACCAUUCAAUGUAGGAUGGUGGAAGCUCAUCGGAUAAAAGCUACUCCGGGGAUAACAGGCUAGUCACGCCCAAGCGUCCACAGCGACGGCGUGGUUCGGCACCUCGAUGUCGGCUCGUCGCAUCCUGGGGGUGGAGAAGCUCCCAAGGGUUGGGCUGUUCGCCCAUUAAAGCGGCACGCGAGCUGGGUUCAGACCGUCGUAAGACAGGUCGGUCUCCUAUCCACU
RNAcentral lists this ribosomal RNA (2749 nucleotides) under Candidatus Falkowbacteria bacterium HGW-Falkowbacteria-1. RNAcentral's name for it is "bacterial LSU rRNA". It matches the Rfam family "Bacterial large subunit ribosomal RNA". Lineage: Bacteria; Candidatus Falkowiibacteriota. The record is from RNAcentral.